UGAAAUAUACUUGCAUUUGCUGUGGGUGAGAGGUGCUUAUUGCUUAAGAUCAUUCUCACAUCAGACAAGCGAUGGAUUCCCUUACUCUAUUUAUAUACUUGGAAUAAUUCACCAGCUAACACUUUUCCCAGCUAAAUAAAUGCCCACCUCCUGAAAUGGAUUCAAACUUCUGGAGCACUGAGGUUACACAACAAGGGUCAGUAUACAAAGCACGGUGCCAGAGACAUGCAGCUGUUUCCCUCACUCACGCUCCCUCCUUCUGAUUAUUGAACAUGAGAAUCCCACUUGUAUUCCAGAUACAAACGUAAGCAUGUUAUAUUCCAAAGCUGGGCGCUAUUCCAGACCGGAGUGCUGGGGACAUCCAAGCCUGGCCUACUUGUCAGCACAGCAUCAAGGAAUGCUGGGAAAAUAGACAUUCAUUUUGCAAUCACUGCAUAUUUAAAUUCCACCCCACCCCCAAAACAUACAGACACACUCUAACCCGCUAGCAAGGUUUCCUUUCCAGGCCCUAUCCUUACACAGAUACCCUAAUUCUUCUCCUUAAAUGAAUUUGGAAGACCUACAGUGCUUUCAGGGAAGCUGUAUCAAGAGAACACAUUUGUCUAUGCAUAGUCACUGACGCCAUUCAUUCGCUAAAGGUCAAUGGCUCAGCAAGAAGAUCCAAAAGGUGUACCGGAAUCUCUGAGGGAAAUGCAAAAGGUUUUUAGCUACAGUGGAGGUGACAGAUCACGGACAGCACAGAAUUCUAUUAGUUUGUAGAUAUGGGACAGAUCCUGCAAUGCCAUUCCCACGGGCAGACUUCUUCACUAAGCCUCCAAGUGGAGGCAGCAGCACCGCAGCUCUGUGCACUGGGCUGUUGCAGUCGCAGGAAGCAAUCUGCAGUUCCUGAGGCAGCAAACACAGCCCAGCCACCUGUACUCCCCACAGGAGAAAGUGGAAGGUGAAAGUGGAAGAUCUCAGAGAGGGGCUUUUACCAGAGACCACCUCCUGGAACAUACCGGCCUAUUUAAUGAGACCCAUGAUACAACAACUCCAUUUCUACCAAUAUAAAUUGUUGGUACCUACCUAUGCUUGCAUAACCUACGGUAAAUCUUCUGACUACACCAAAACUCAUGAAAUCCCUCCACUAAAAUCAUCAAAAGUAUAACCUAAAUAUCUUCACUACUGUCUUUUGGUGAAACCUUCCUGUGCACGUGUGUACAAUACUAAGGCCUGACAGAUGCAGAGGCUACCACGGGGUUUCCAGGUGCCACUCACUGGCAUAGAAGUACUUCUUGCCAUAUUAACAGCCAAAAGUAUUGGAGUUUUUUUUUCCCCAUUAUUCUUUAAAAUUCCUCUUAGUAAAUGCAGUGAAGGACUGUGAAAGUGCAGGUGCAUUGCCAGCUUUCCAGUUUUAGCCACCCACUCCCUCACGACCUGCAGGGGAGACAAAGCUGGUAUGUCAGGAGAACAAAGUUUCUCCUUCCUACUUGGAGAGAACUCUGGUUAAAAUAUGUAACAUCAGCGCCCCUGCACCUUACAGCUAUAAAUACAAAUAAACAGACUAAGUAGCAUUGCAAAGGGAUUUGUUGGUGUACUUCUGCUUUUUAAAUCGAUUUUCAUAGAAAUUCAAUACUUGCUACAAAGAGAUCAAAACGAAGUGUCCUACAGAGCCGAGAGGCUGCAGUUUUGUGUAAGUGCUCUGCUGCUCUCUGCUGGAGCUGAUCAGAUCUUCUCCCCUAUCUGUACACCACCUAGCAGACCCUGAAGGGAGUUGCAUCUCUAAAAUCAUCAGGACUGCUUUGGGAGCUCCAGAUUUGAAAAUAAAAUUAACGUAGCAUAUUAUUAAUCCUUAUAUAAAUGAUAA
Anas platyrhynchos (mallard) is the source of this 1846-nucleotide long non-coding RNA. RefSeq lists it as uncharacterized. The record is from RefSeq and is a predicted model, not a curated record. NCBI's taxonomy places the organism in Eukaryota, Metazoa, Chordata, Aves, Anseriformes, Anatidae.